RNAcentral lists this ribosomal RNA (392 nucleotides) under uncultured bacterium. RNAcentral's name for it is "bacterial SSU rRNA". It matches the Rfam family "Bacterial small subunit ribosomal RNA", at positions 28 to 424 of the family's 1533-position model. The record is from RNAcentral.
GACGAACGCUGGCGGCGUGCUUAACACAUGCAAGUCGAGCGGUAAGGCCCUUUCGGGGGUACACGAGCGGCGAACGGGUGAGUAACACGUGGGUGACCUGCCCUCAGCUCUGGGAUAAGCCUGGGAAACCGGGUCUAAUACUGGAUAUGACUCCAUGACGCAUGUUGUGGGGUGGAAAGCCUUGUGCGGCUGAGGAUGGGCCCGCGGCCUAUCAGCUUGUUGGUGGGGUGANGGCCUACCAAGGCGACGACGGGUAGCCGGCCUGAGAGGGCGACCGGCCACGCUGGGACUGAGACACGGCCCAGACUCCUACGGGAGGCAGCAGUGGGGAAUCUUGCGCAAUGGGCGAAAGCCUGACGCAGCGACGCCGCGUGAGGGAUGACGGCCUGGUU